CACACUGACACCUUUAUUUUGAAGGUGUUGUGGCCAAGCACUUCCACAGAACAGACAACUGAACCAAACUUUUGCAAGCCGGCCGUGCCUUCCCUCCUUUCUCCUCUCUGACAUCACUCUGCCUUUGCAGCACAACUUCUCCAUCUGCAAGCUCUGUGCUUUCAGACACUCUAGGCAAAGUCUUCUUUAUGCCUGUGUAAUUUUGUGCUUUCCCCAGCUUAUCUAAUAACCAUGAUUUUUCAUGUUCUUGCAGGAAGUGUGACUGCUCCUCCCUUCUGUCAAAUUCAAAUUGCCUCUUAAUGCUCCAGUUUAACUCUGCAGAAGUGAUUUCGGCCUGGCGCUCUGUAGGCAUUGCAUUUGUGUGCAGAUGCCACCCUGGACAGAGCCAGGGGAUGUCUGGACGUUGGCAGCCCAUGCUUCAGUAACAUAACAGGGAACAAGAAGCAGUGACCAUGCUGAAAGGUUCAAAUUUGGUGCACUUCAAGCCAGCUAGGGGAAGUCGUCAGUGACAAGUGAGGAGUUACACUGUGUGGUUCAUGGAGGUGGAAGUUUCCGUGCUACUUAUAUCCCAGAUGCAGGCUAGUCAGAGGAGACAUGGCAGCAAGGUCCAGGAACAGAAAUGGACCUCGGUGUGGGCAUGCGAACUCUCUCCAGUUCAGGUGCCUCUGAGAUUCUUUCCUGUGCUAAUCAGGUAAUAGACCCUCAGAAGAAGAAAGCUUUUGCUUCCUUUCUGUGUGGGAUUCAAGACUUUAGUAGUUCCCUGAGGAAGAAUACACAGGACCUUCAGCAAGGCACACACAACGAGGAAAAAACUUGAUGUCAGGCAGAUGGAGGGCUUCAUAAAAGGGAGACGGAAGCUCUGUGUCUUUCCCUCUGUUUCCGUUUGAUUCUCCGACAGUGAAGUUCAGCUGAGAGUGUGGCAAGACUGGGUGAGUCACUUCUGUACAUGUCAACCUGAUGUCCCUCUGAUGUGCUGAAUGUGAGCUCUCCCGUCAUUGAGGGUACCAGAGACAAGCACUGAAGAGCUUUGAGAUGCUGCUCUGAGAAUAUAUCUUUAAGUUCUUGAUAAUGUGCUCCACUGUCGGGACACCCAGGGUUUCCUAGUAACUCUGGGAGGUUUACUGAGAUUCCAGGCUACCUUGUUGAGCCCUACAAAACUUCCCAGUGGGUGUCAUUUGAAUAUCAAGUUUGGUUGACAAAUCUGUGGCUUCCUCAAACCAAAAUUCACAAUAAACUUCAGUAUUUUCCGUCAUUUCACUGAGUGAGUGCAAUACAGCAGUCAAAAAGAUAUGAGAAGUUUGUCCCUGGAGAUUUUUUUCCCAAAGGCC
This 1328-nucleotide long non-coding RNA is filed under the name Fukomys damarensis (Damara mole-rat). Its description in RNAcentral is "lncRNA (ENSFDAG00000024578.1)". Lineage: Eukaryota; Metazoa; Chordata; Mammalia; Rodentia; Bathyergidae. The record is from RNAcentral.